GGCUUCGUCUGAUGACGCGUUUUAGGUGCCUUGGGCGGAAAGCGCCUGCAGUGGAGGAAGGCAAAGUUCGCUCCCAGUACCCGCCCCCUGCGCUGGGUCCUCCCGAAGUAGGAAACGGUGAAAGAGAGGGUCCUGUGCUGUUCUGCAGGGAAGCGUCGCUUCCGUUCAGCUGUCCCUACACCAUGGACUCAGUACCUGCAACUGUGCCUUCUGUCACUGCUUCCCCGGGGGACCCGGAGCUCCUGGGACCCCUGUCGGUGCUGUACGCAGCCCUCAUAGCCAAGCUACUGGAGGUGACGGUCCCAUUCCCAGGGAGGGACCCCAGCUCUGGCCGGCGGGUGGCUGAGUUCUGGCGGAGUGGGUGCACUGACUGUCGCGGCGACGGAGAAAUGGAGUGUGUAGGCCCAAGGCAGGCAGGAUGUGACUGUAUUGUUAAGCGAGGCCGUUGAGAGUGUACUUGAGCUUUCCCCACUUGCACUUUUUUUUUUGACGGAAUAGAGGUGACAACCUCAUGUUAUGUUCCGAAAUGCAGCCAGCAAUCGAAACAGCUAACGUUACUACAGGUCUUUUCCCUACGGAGACUGCUGGGGAAUUGGGCCCAAAUGACAGUUAUCUCGUAUUACGUGUAGAGGGCGGUGAAAACAGGGAAGAGUAGGCAGGUGUUUAAUGCACUGCCUUUGAGCAACCAUUUAAAAUUAGGCUUUGAAUUUUAUAGAAGGAUGUUAAAUUCAGAGAAGUUUAUCUAAGACAGUUUUCAAGAGUUGUCUGAAAUUACAUGUCACUUAUCUGUUUAUAUAAGAGUGGAAUGGAAGUAAGAUUUAAAAUCUUAUACGUAUGUCAUCAUCAUCAUUGUUUUUAUUUGUUGCCAUAAAAUUAAUUAGUUCUUUCAUAUAUAUGUUUUUGUCUUAAAUGAAUUUUUUAAAUUAUAAAAACCAGGUUAUCUAAGAGAAAAGAAUGAUCCAGAGGGAUUCUAGCCAGGUGUUAGACAAUGUGAUGAUAUAGGGCCUGUUACAAACUGGAAAUGUAUGCUCAAUUUAAAGUAUUUAGAUUCGGGCUGGGGUUGUGGUUCAGUGGUAGAGCACUUGCUUAGCAUGCAUGAGGCACAGGGUUAGGGUUAGGGUUAGGGUUAGGGGUUCAAUCCUCAGCACCAUAUAAAAACAAAAUAAUGUGUCCACCUAAAACUAAAGAUACAUAAAUAAAUAUUUUUUAAAAAGUAUUUAGAUUCAUUAUACUUGAAAACACUGCAAGUGAACAAAAAAUAUGAGACUGCCAGUAUCCUCUCUCUUGAAGAAGCUAUUGGAAAAUAUUGAGGAGGUGGAUUUCUGAUGAGGAGGUUGGUUUAGAAUUGCCAUGAUUCUUUGUGACUGUUUUGUUAUAAAUUUAAGGUUUCCCAUUUCUUCUAAUUUGUCUGUUUCAGCUGUUUACUACAUUGCCUGAUGAUACUCAACCUGGGCCUGAUUUUUAUGGACUACCAUGGAAGCCUGUAGUUUUCACUGUUUUGUUUGGAUUUGUAUCCUUUGUCGUUUUCUUUUGGAAAACUAUUCUUGUUGUGAGUAAAUUAACUUACUUAUACCUUAGCACAUAAGCACAAGGAUUAUUUUAUAUAGUCACUGGCCCCCACCUUUUUUUUCUUUUUCAGUUGCUAAAACACAAAUUAGUGGUUUAAGUCAAACUAACCUUAUAAAAUAAUUUAGUGUGGGUGCAGUUGGUAGAACUGGUAAUUCGUACAGCCAUCCUGACCAGUAGUUUCAUAUGUAUCAGAAGUUUUAAAAGUGGGAUAAAAGAUGGAAUAGGUUAGAUAAAUAUCCUUUUAUGUAGCAUAUAUGUCUAGUAAUCUAUAUUAAAGAAAUAACCAUACUUUGAAGAUUUUGGUAAUGUUUUUCAGUGGAACGGUGUGUUAGAUUGAAGACUUAGCACAACAUAAUUCAUUUAGGGGUUAUUGUAUGUUCGCUUAAUGGAAUAGUAGGCAGAUUUAUCUAUUUCAAAGCUUUGAGGUACAGAAAAUGCUCACAAUUAAAUGUGAAGUGGAAAAAAAAGCAGAAACUAAGAUUUAAAUGUUGAUGAACUGUAUGUUAAUAUAAACACAUAUAAACAGGGGGAAAUGCUGCAAAGAAAUACAGUAAAAUGAGAAAAAGGAGAUGAGAUAAUUUUUCCAGUCUUUUAUAUAUAUUUUUCUCAGAUUUUAUGAUUUGAUCAUAUGUUCAGAAAAUACCUUUUUAUUUGGAAGUAUAGAUUAUGUGUUGUCCAAAAAUCCAUUAAAUGUUUUGUUCAUUAAGUCUUUUUUUUUUUCUGAGCAGAAUUAGUCCAUCUCUGUGUAUGUGUGUACAUAUAUGUAUAAGUGUGUGUGUGUGUGUGUAUAUAUAUAUAUAUAUAUAUAUAUAUAUAUAUAUAUGGUUAUACAUACUUAUGUUUGUACUGUAGGUCAUUCUGUUUCAUAGUUAUUUAACAUAAUUGGAAGAAAAUUAUUUUAGGUAAAUGGACUUUGCAUAUGAAAAGCCUAACAGUUAAAGAGGCCAAAAGCAUUGGAUACAAAUAUUUUCAAAUCUGAGUGUUCUUUUUCUGAUUUCUUAAUUAUAUCAGAUAUAUCAUUGUUGAGAUAAGUUUCCUCUCCUUGUACAAUUGAGUGUAAAAUCUCUUAAAAAGUAUUCCCUUCUUAAAUAGAAGAAUCGUUUGCCUGGAUUCCUGUGAGGAAUUUUCUAAUCUCAUUGAACUUUUUCUCAGCUAAAAGAAAAAAGGAAAUAGAAGGAUAAAGAGAAGGGAAAAACAUUAAAACAUUUUAUAUUUCUCUCUCUUGUUUCUUUCAUUUCAAAAACCCCGGUACCUGUUUCUCUUUUUACUAGGUUAUGUGGGAUCUUGUUCCUAGCUGUUGCUCCUCAGUUUCAGCAUUUGACUUUGGAGCUUUAGUCCCUUCCUUAGAUGACUGCUUUUAUGCUACUUCCCAUUUUCCUCUGUUGUCAUUUUGAGUAAAAGGUUAGCAAGGCUAUGACAUUAAAGAAAUGUUCAUUUCUUUCUGUGUUGGGGUUUUCUGAAUGCAAUUUCCUAUUACGAAGAUCCCAUGGAUGAUCCUUGGACACAUCUGAGUAUCCCAUCACCAUUUAUAACAUUUGAAUAUUGUUUAAUAUUGUUUCCUUUAAUAUUGUUUCCUCAGAUUCCUUUUGAAUAGUCAUUGUUUCCAGACUUUAUCCUGGUUAUUUAGAAUUGUCAAGUAAAUUAUUUUGAGUACACACACACACACACACACACACACACACAUACACACAUCUUUACUGUGAAAUAAGGUACAUAUCUUAGUGUGUUUAUGUCAGAGGCUAUUUAUGAAAUAUCACUACCAAUUAAAUUUAAAAGGCUUGUUAACCUUUACUUAUUUUUAAUCCUAUAAAUUAUUAUCCUGAAUCAGAAUGUUAUUAAAUUCUCACUUGGUUAUGAUUCUGACUGUUGUUUUAGGAAUGCUGUUUCUAUUGAGCAGAUGUUUGACAUCAAAUUUAAUCUUUUUUCUCUCUUCUAGGUAAAAGAUAGAGUAUAUCAAGGUAAAUUUUUAGGUUUCUUAAACUUGUAAUAACCCUUUGUAUUGGUGUUUGAUGUGUGUUUUAUGUAUGUUAGAAGUAGAUACAGUGACUUUUAAUGUCUAUUAUCUUUUUUACCUCCUGAAAAUUUUACUAUUCCUAGGUUGCUAACAUGGAUAAUAGAGUAGAUGAUGAUGGUUCCAACUCUGAGAUAGGAGAUAAAGAGGAGGAACAAAUUGUGGAUAGGGAGAUGAUGAUAAGUUUUAAUUUGGGGCAGAUUAACUUUGAAUAUUGAUGUAAUGCAGAUGUAUUACAUUUGAAGAGUAUUUCUAUGCUAAUGAUUUAAUCAUGCAUUAAGUAAUUGAGUAGAUAAUUUAAAGAAUGGUAAUGUACAUCAGUAUGCUUUCAUUUCUGUUUUUCUUUGCAAAGAAUUAAAUGAUUCCAUUUUCUGAAAAGAAAGUGUUUUGAGAAGGGAGGAAUAUCAAGCUACAACACUUUACUGUAUUUCCCAUCUGUGAAAUAAGCUUAAAUUGAAAUAUCAUUUUGGAUGGGAGGGGUACCUGGGAUUGAACUCUGGGGCACUCUACUGAGCCACAUCCCCAACCCCCUAUAUUUAGAGACCAAGUCUCACUUAGUUGCUUAGUGUCUCGCUCUUGCUGAGGCUGGCUUUGAACUUGGGAUCCUUCUAGCUUAGCCUCCUGAGCCACUGGGAUUACAGGUGUGCACCACUGCACCCAGCAAAAUAUCAUCGUUCUUAUAUUUUUCUUAAAUUUUAAUAAUUUUUAUACUCAUUGCUAAUAAGCAUAGAUUGCUUUUUAAAAGCAUAAUAGUUAUGCUAAGAAGUAUUUCCUCAUAGUACCAUAUAACAUGUCUUUGCUUUUAGUAGAUUGAGUAAUUGAAUUUCAUUUAGUGAUUGUAAUAAUCUUGUGUAUUUCCCCCUUUUAGUCAAUGAACAGCAAAUUUCCCAAAAGGUGAAAAAUUUCAUGAAAGAAAAUAAAGAACUGAUGCAGAAAUUGUCAAAUUAUGAACAGAAGGUAUAAUUAUUUUGUUUUGUUUCUUUCUCCCUUGGUUCUAGCUUAAAUCAUUUCUACCUGUUUUAAUUUAAAAAUCGUAUUUUAAAAUUUUUGUUUCAUUAUUUCCUACAAAUCAUCCAAAUUCCAAGCAGUCAUAUGUAUUAAGUACUGCUUUCUUCUGGAAAAGGGUCACUUGUCUGGAAGUAACUUGUAUAGUAGCACUAUAAUUUGUGUAUCUUAAUUCUGAAUGCUUUAUUUACAUAGAUGAAGGAACAGGUCAAAGAAACCAUGAAGCAAAAUAUGAUUCUUUCUGAUCAAGAAACUAAAUAUAAGGUAAAAAUCCCUUCUUUGGGGGGAAUUACAUUCUAAACUCAAAAGUAAAUGUAAUGAGUGAGUAAUCUUGACACCUUUUUUUCCCAGGAUAAAAUGAAGCUUCUUGAAAAAGCUAAAGAACUUCUGGAUGAGAGAGCUAAAAGUCUUCAUGUUAUGUUAGAAUCUGAGAGAGAACAGAAAGCUAAGAAUCAGGACUUGGUAAGAAUUUGCUGCUAAGUGUUACUGUAAUUUGGCUUUUGAAAUAUUUUGUAAAAUUGGUUAAGUUGAACUUAGUCCAGCUGUUAACUAAAGUAAGAUUAGGAGUCAAGGAAGUUGAACCCACUUCUGCCCAUUUUGUGGAACUUUUAAGUACUGAUACAACAAAUUAUUUUUAUGGGCCUAGGAAAUAUUUUUAUUUUCAACCUUGGAUAAUUUUCAUAUUGCUUUGCUCUGCCCUUGGAAACAUGCAGAACAACUAAACAACUAUUGUCCAGUUGAACAGUAUUUUUUUACUUUUUACUUGAAAGAGUAAUGAAUUAAUCAAUUUUCUGUACUUAAAAAAAUUUUACUUACAUAUUUCAUUUUCAAUUUCUAUAAGUUUCUGUAAUUACAUAAAAGUUGCAAAAGAUAGUAGAGAGUGUGUUCUGAAAUAUCCUACCCCCAAGUAAGCUUGAUCACCUAGCUGAGGUAGUAUUUAUCAGAUUUCUCCACUGUAAAAAUUCUUUCCAAUCCUUUUCAUAUUGUAUUCUUUGGAAGUUACCAUGCACAGCCCACAGUUAAAGUAUGAAGAGUUACGAGCUCAGGAUGCAGCUCAUGGUAGAGCACUUGCCUAGCAUGCAUGAGGCCCAGGAUUCAGUCCCAGGCACUGCAAACAAAGAUUGCAGAGUUACGUCCACUUCCUUAAGGAGCGAGUAUCUUUAUAAAUUUUUUGGAAUUCUUCUGUAUGUGAGAUUAGUCUAUUCUCCCUUAAAUUUUAUCAUUUUUUACUUCAGAUAAGAAAAUUUUAAAAAUGAUCUUGGGAAAUUUUUUUCUCUAUCACUAGAAAAAAAAAUUACUAAUUUGAACUGGUUUACUUGAAACAGUAAUUAAUUAGUUAAUUUUCUAUGCUUUAAAACAUUUUAUUUACUUAUUGCAUUAUGUUUUUCUAUACUUUGACCUUUUUUUCUGGUUAUCUCAUAAACCGUAAGGUUGUGGAUGCCAUGAAAUAUUUAUGACUUCAUUUUCCCUCAUUUCUUUCAGUUCUUGAUUUUUUGCUUAGUCUAAAGCUGGAUCCCAUGCAUUUACCUGAAAUGUAAUGGGAUGGCUUGACAAAUAUUUUGUUGUGUUUAUCUUUUUUAGUAUAUAUGUGUGUGUGUGUGUGUGUGUGUACACACACACACACACACACACAUAUAUAUAUAUAUCAGUAUUUCUACUGAAAUCCUAAUGCAUAUUUUGUGUUCUGUUUUCACCUGGCAGAUAAUGGAAAAUAAGAAAUCGAUAGAGAAGCUUAAAGAGGUCAUUUCAGCGAAUACUAAUGAACUUUCAGAGGUAAAGCUGCCAACUCUUGCUAACGGGUAUUAAUACUACAUCUUAGUUUUCUUGCGGACCAAAAAUUUGAGGUGUGCUAAAAUGUGCAAAAAAUGAGAACUAUAUGAUGUCUGGUUUGGGAGAGUAUAACUUUGUUUUUUCUUUGGAAUUAAUUCACUAACUGUAGUGUUUUGCAUUAGCUUCAAAUUGUCCUUAAUGAAGCUAAGCUUCAUGAAGAGAAGGUGAAGUUGGAAUGCUGUCGGCUUCAGAAAGAAAAUACCAUGCUUAAGAAGAAGAAAGAGCAGGUAAAGAAAAUUUGAUGUCAUACAUAAUGUAAACUAGAGAAGUGAAUAUCAUUAUCUUGUAUCUUUCUUGGAUCUGUUUCUGAGGUAAGGAAUAUUCAUGUAGGACCUUUUCUAGAUAUGCAAAGUUUAAACAAUGCUCCCCAAAUUGAGUGCAUAUAUAUGUUCUCCAUCUGUUUUGGAUUUUGGGAUUAUUGCUUUUCUUAUCAAAUAUCAAUCAGUUAUUAACUUGCAUAGCCUCAAAGAAACUUUUUAAACCAGAAAAUUAAGUAUUGUAUGAUCCUCUUUUGAGUAGUUACUGAUUCACCGGCCAAGGGAAGAUUACAUGAUAAGGAGUCUAAAUUUAGGAGACAGUCAUAUGUGCCCAGCCAUUCCUGCUGGAGGUAAAUUAUUUGAAUUGGCAGCAAUUUUCUGGGGAAUGCAAUAAACAGGGUCAACUUCCUGAUAGCUCUGAUGUUCUUACUGCAGCUGUGAGAGUUGGGGCCACUCUGCCCUCUUCCUUAACCAAGGUCUCAACCCCCUCGAUUGAGGCAGGCCACCGAGGAGUAUGGCUCUCUAUUUCUUUGUCUAAGUCUUGUAGUCCUGAUGUAUCCAGUGCAGAAACCCCUCCCUAACCCAUAGGAAUUCAUGUGUUUUGGCUUUUCAGUUGCAGCAGGAAGUCAAAGACUGGAGUACAUCACAUGCUGAGCUCAGUGAACAAAUCAAAUCAUUUGAGAAGUCCCAGAAAGAUUUACAAGUAGCUCUUAGUCACAAAGAAGAUACUGUUAACGUAAGUUUAUACUCCAAAUACAUGUUUCAUCUCAUGAAUUCUCCUGAAAUCUUCUGAAUUAAAAUCGAGAGUCUUCCAACCUUUUGCUUCUUUUCUAGGCUUUGACUAAUUAUAUCACACAGUUGAAUCGGUUACAAUGUGAAUCUGAAUCUGAGGAUCAAAAUAGAGAAGAUGAGUCAGAUGAAUUAACCAAUGGAGAGGUAGCAGGUAAGAUCAGUCUCAGGGAGGUUGAAUCCUUUUUUGCUUUCCUGUCUUUAAUUAAGUAUACAGAUGCCACUUUUCAGCUGGCUGAAUUUCUUCUUAAGCUUCAGGGUUGUAGACACAUAUCACUGGAUCUAUAGAUAUGUCUGUUGCAUUGGCAGAAGUGGGUUGCUGGGGUAUAAUGUAGCAAUAGGCAUGUGAAGAACACUGACUUUUUCUAUCCCAUUGAAAAAUAGUAAGUACACUGCACUACAAUAGUCACAUCCUAUACCUCUAAGUAUUGAACAUUGUACAGUAAGAGAAAUUUAUUUCUUUUACUUAUGCAGAUGAUACUUGAUUUUGAUACUCAUCAUCUCUAUGGCUCUGUGGUUUUAAGGUCCACAGUCAGUCUUAAGAGUCCGGAGGUAGUUGGAACCAUAAACUAAGGCUGUGAGAACAGAGGCUAGAGACUAUCAGAAAGCUAGAGAGGGAGUACUGAUGAGGAAAAUAUUUCCAGAUGUUUUCUCCCAAGUUGGAUAUUGCUUACAUAGCAAGUAUUUCAAACCACACCUGGUAGUAGAUUCAGGGAGAAAAUAGAGGAUUGAAUCUUUCUAAAUAAGACACUUACUUGCCCAGGUGCAGAUAGAUCUGAGAGAGAAGAAAAGCUUUUAUCUUACAAGAAUAACAUAGAUGACAUUUUAGUUGUGCAAACUAGAAAUUCACCUUUUGUUUGUUUGUUUGUUUUUAAGACAGACACAGUACUUUUAUUUAUUUUUAUGCUGAGGAUCAAACUCAGUGCCUCACACAUGCUAGGUGAGCACUCUACCACUGAGCCACAACCCCAGCCUGAAAUUCACCUCUCUCUCUCUCUUUUUUUUUUUUUUUUUUAAAUCUAAGCUUGCAAUUCUCUUAAAAGUCAUUAGUCUAAUCAGUUUAGUUAUUUAAUUGAUUUUUUUGUUUUGUUUGAACACAAUCAUUAUUUAGUUUGGGGAAGUUAGGAGAAUAUAGAGUUAAAAGUAAGGAAAGAAAAAGCUAAAGUCUUUUGUUUUUUAGGUGAUCGGAAUAAGAAGAUCAAAGAUCAAAUUAAGCAGAUGAUGGAUGUCUCUCGGGUAUAGUUCUUUGUAAGAGUCCCAUAGUGCCUGUGAAUUCUUCCUGUGCCUCACUUUUAAGAAUACCUCUCUUUUCUGCAAUUUUUAGACACAAACUACAAUAUCAGUAGUUGAAGAGGAUCUAAAACUUUUACAACUUAAGCUAAGAGACUCGAUGUCCACAAAAUGUAAUCUAGAAGGUGGGUUCUUCUUGAGAAGAAAUUGCUAUGUUGGAAAGACUUAAAAUUUUAUUGGAAAGAUAAAGAAUGGCUUCUUGCUUUCGUGCUUCUUACUUUUCUUGGCACUACUCCCUCAAACAAGUUCUUAAGUCCUUGUACACAUAUAGAGAUAAGCUGUUUUAUCCUUUACAGACCAAAUAAAGAAAUUAGAAAGUAACUACAGUUCACUACAGUCUUCUAAAGUUGAACUGGAAGAGGAAUGUAAAACUUUAAGGCAGAAAGUGGAGAUUUUAAAUGAACUCUACCAGCAAAAUGAGAUGGCACUACAAAAGUAAGAUUUUCAUUGUUUGGUAUUGUUAUCACUGUGUGAACUAAUAGAUAAUUUUAUCUUUUCUUAAGAUUAUUUACAAUUUCUUCUAGUUUGUAAUAAGUAGAGAUUUGUCUUUUUUCCUUUGUGUUUUGUUUCCUAUAAGUUGCAUUUUUCUUUCCAUCAUCAGUCUUAAGAGUUCUGAGGUAGUUGGAACCAUAAACUAAGGCUGUGAGGACAUCGUAAUCAAUUGUCAAAUUCAUAUGAAGGCAGGAAGUGGUAAACUGGUAUUAACAGUCACUGAUGUGGAAAUACCUCUCAAAGAUCUAGACCCUUUUUAUGAUCCCACUAUUUAUUUUAAUUACCUUUCAUUGUGAUCAGUUAUGUAAUUCUAAUGUUUUGAACUUGUAUUUCUAACUCUGGACCUUUAAAAAUACUGAGUGAUUUGGAAUGACAUGUUUUAGUAGAAUAAAAACUUCAAAAAGGAAUAAUAUUUACUUAUUGAUGGUACAAGUUUUGGACUUGAAUAUCUCAGAUGUUCACACUAAAAAUUGAACUGUGGCAAGGACCUUAGGAGUUAUGAUUACAGAAGUACUUGUUUGUAGUAUAUAUUUAUAUAUUAAUCUCAGUGUGGAGCUAGUUAUUUUUUGAAAGUUCAUUUGAAGUUUUUAAUCCACAAAAAUACUUGAAUUCUCUAAAAAUAGGUUUUUUGUGUCAGAUUUUAUUUGUUUGCACCUGAUUUUACUCUUCGGCAUAUAUAUAUAUCUUGUAAAGCAAAGACAGACCUUCUUACAGACCUAUUUUUAGGUAUUUUGACUCCUGUUGCCUAAUUAAUGCAUUAAAUAUUGAAACCUUUCCAUUAACUUUUCUAAAAUUCUGUGAUCUCCAAGCGACCUUUUUAGAAUCUCAAAUUUUUGUUCAGGGCAGUUCUAAAUGCCUGGCCUGUUUCAAAGAAACAUUUCUCAUUUUAUCACUUUUUUUUUUUUUUUAAAGAACACUUGUUUUCUCUGUCCCUACUAGUAAUAUGAAUGACCUAAAUGGCAAUUAAUUUUCUUUGUAAUGCAAUUAAAUUGUAGCACUAUUUUCCUCAACUCCUCCAAAAUUCAUUCAGUCAUCAUCUGUGGUUUGUACUCUUUUUACUCAUCCCCGGGUACUAUGUUAGUUCAUGCCUGUGUCAUCUUUUCUGUUCCUAACCUAGAUCAUCUGUCUUCAUUCUCCAUUUUUUUAUAUUUUUUAUAUAACUUAUUUCAAAUUCUUAGUAGUUUUCUCUAUAGCCGCUUGAGUGGACUUUCUAAAAUGUAAGUCUGUCCAAGUCAAUAUGUGCCUGUGGUUUAUGAAGAAUUUGCUUUCUAUUUGAUGACCUGUUCUUUUUUUCUUCCUUGUAUCUUUUUAAUAGUUUAAAUAUUUUUAAUUAUUUUCCUCAUCCCCUGUAUAAGCUUGAUGUAAUCAUAAAUUAUAAUGGAAUUAUAAUUAUAUAAUUAUAAUUUUAUUCAUCUUCUCAUAAUUUAAAGGCCAUGGUAUAUAUUCUGGAUUUAAUAAAAACCUGACAUAGAUUAAUAGGUUUAUUAUUUUUUUUAUGGGCUUUAAGUAGCUCCUGAAUCAGAUAACUGUUGUGGCAUUGUAUGUUAGUACUUCAUAUACUGUGAACUCCACAAGACAUUCAUUCAAUUUAUACACAUAUUUAAAGUUUCUGUAGUUCUGCAUUCUACACUGUUUGUUUCUUAUUUGAAAUUAUUUUCAUUCUAUUUGAACAUUGUCCUUUAAUGAUAGAUUUGAUUAGUGUAUCAAAGUAGUACAAGGAUAAACAGAGAAUAGUAUUUUAUCCACUAAAUAUUGCUACCUUUAUAAUCUGUAUUAGGUUGACAUGAACUUCAUGAUUAGAGUUAAAAACAGUUUCCAUUUUUAAAGGAUCUUUCUUUUGGCUACUGAAUUUUGACUGUUACUUAGUUUUAGCAAUUUAAAAAUAUCCAAUUAAUUACCAUCUGUUUUAAAUUUUUUCUUUAAGGAGUCCAUUAUCACUGUUGUUUGGUCUUAUCCCUCCCCUAGUUCCUGUAGUCAUUUCUCUGUUUUUUUAACCAUUGUAUUGGGAAGUGCCUAGGUGUAGUUUUCCCCACCCCACCCACUUUUUCCUCUUGCAGUUAUGUUGCUUGGGACCAUUAAACAUUUCUUGAAUUUUCGAGUCUUUUUCUAAAUGUUGAUUUUACCUCAUUCUCUCUUCUGAUUAUAAUAAUGCAUAUUAGAAUUUGAUUUCCCCUGCCUCCUACAUUCUGGAUUUACUUCUUCUGGAUAUUUUCUUCUGACCUGUCUCAAAAGUGCUAGGAUUUAUUUUACUUCCCAAAUCUGCUGCUAAAAUCAUUCAUUGAGUUUAGGAUUUUAAAAAAAUCAGGGUUCAAAAUAUUAUUUUAGUUGUAGAUGGACACAGUAUUUUAUUUUAUUUUUAUAGGAUUUUUUUAAGAGAGAGAGAAAGAGAGAAUUUUAAUAUUUAUUUUUUAGUUUUUGGCGGACACAACAUCUUUGUAUGUGGUGCCGAGGAUUGAACCCGGGCCGCAUGCAUACCAGGCGAGCGCGAUACCGCUUGAGCCACAUCCCCAGCCCGACACAAUAUUUUAUUUAUUUUAUGUGGUGUUGAGGACUGAUCCCAGUGCCCCACACAUGUGGGGCACGUGCUUCACCCAUGAGCCACAAUCCCAGUCCUAUUUCAGUACUGCAGCUCAAACCCAGGACCUUGAGCCAUAUGCUCUACUAUUGAGCUACCUCCCCAGACUCCUUGCUCUUUCUCAUAAGGGACUAGGGUCUUACUGCUUUCCAAGCUGUCUUUAAUCUCAUCAUUCUGCCUCUGCCUCCUGAGUAUCUUCCACUGUAGGUAGGUCACCACACCCAACUAUUUCUUGGUUUUAUAGUUUCUAAUCCUUUGACAAAAUUCAUAAUCUUUUUUUUCCCCUCUUUUGUGGUGCUGGGGUUUGAACCCAGAGCCUUGUGCAUGCGAGGCAGCACUCUACCAACUAAACUAUAUUCCCAGCCCUGAAAUUCAUAAUCUUGACUUUACUUUUUUGACUAUAUAAAAAGCACAGUGAUUUUAAAACAUGUGCGGAUAACCCCAUUAGGUGGUUUCCUUUUCUGUGGGAUUUUUUCUCACAGAAUUUUGUCUUAUGGAGUGCCUGGUCAGUUUUGAUUGGCCAACAUUGUUGUGAUAAUUAUAGAUGAAAUUUGAGGACUAAGAUGAAGUUAUCUUCUUAUAGAAAAGUGUUGAGGUUACUUGAGUAAGAUUGUUACUUUAAACUUAGUCAGCAAUUAAGAUAAUUCAAAAAUGACUUGUCUUUUCAAUGUUUCAUUAUUGUUCCUUUUGGAUUUUUUGCCUGUUCAUCACUUAAGUGUGCAGUACUUUCUAAUCUAAACUCAAAGGCUAGGGCUUUUAUUAAGGGUCCCUUUAUUUGUAGCCCCAAACACUUCUUUUUUCCUCUAAGCCCAGGAAUUUGAUGAAGGCUUAGUUCAGUCUCAUUAUAUCUUUGUGUUAUCUUCAAUAUGUGGGUGAACCUAGGAGAAAAGUACCUUAAAGUGCCAGCCUUACUUGUAAUUCUGAGAUUCCCUUUUCUAAUGGAUCUUGGCCACAUACAUAUAUCUUCACUGCCUUUUUAGCUUGGAUCCCUUCAAACACAAUUUUAUAUUCUUAUAAAGAUGUUUUGAUUGUUCUUAGUGCUCUCAGACUAACUCUUUGAUAAUUGGAAACAAAAUUCUCUCUGUCCUUCAAGAUUCAGUUUUCUCCAUAUUCCUUCUUAAGCCAGUGGGGAAAAUUAUUAUAUUCCUUUAGGCAUCAUUUAUACCUGAAACAGUGAGCUCUUUUAUUCUUUAGCAUCUUACAAGAUAACUAGUAUAUUAUAGCCACUCAUAGAAUACUUGCUGAAGAAUUAAAUGAGAAGCUAUAUAAGAAUAUAUAAUCCCCUUUUUCUAUUUGGUAUCAAUAAUCCUUUUUUACUAUAGUUCUUCUGAUUUAUGGAAAAUUAAGUUUCAACUUAAUUAUCUUUUGAAUUGGAACUAUGGCUAAAGUAGUACAAGGAUAGCAGAAAAUAGUAUUUUUUAAAUCAUUAAAUGUGGCUACCUUUGUCUCAGUAGAUGAACAUCUUGAGUUUCAUGAUCAGAGUUAAAACUUGUCAGUAGAUAAUACUCUGAUCGUCGGUCAGUUUGGCUUCUUUUUCUGGUUGACAGACAUUAUCAAAACUCAGAUUUGUCUUUUUGCUUAAUUACAGUUCUUUUGAAAUAGAUAUCUAAAGUGUGAAAAAUGUUCUGUGGUUAAUUGCAUAGCUAAAAGACAUAUUCUAGAAGAUUUUUUCUUUGACUGACUAUAUCUUUAUUAUGGUACCAGUCUUGGAUUGAGAAAAGAGUUCCUCCAUGACAAAGAUAUACUUAGUGUCCUACCCAUGGCAGAAACGAGAAAAGAAUUAUCCCCUGCUUUAUCCUAAUAUGUUUAAUUAUGUUAGGUUGUUCAGUCCUGAUCUUCCACAUUGAAGUAAAGUGAGUUUUUAUUAUCUUACACACAGGAGACUUGCCCUUGGGGCACAUGUUGUUUUCACAUUUAUUUUAUUUACUGGUAAGUAGAGAAUUAAGAGGAGAAGUUAGAAAAUGUAAGUGAUUUGCCAGAGUUUGAUUUACGAAAUUGCAGGUUUGAAUUCCUAUUUUAUGUGCCUAAGCAUUUUAUAGAAUUGUGGGAAGUGAUAUUCACAAAGAGAAACUUUUGAUUUGAUAACUGGCUUUAUUUUAGGAAACUGAGUCAAGAAGAAUAUGAGAGACUAGAAAAAGAGCAGCGGCUGUCAGCUGCAGAUGAAAAGGUGGUUUCCGCUGUAGAGGAAGUUAAAAAUUACAAGUGAGUUCAGUUUCUAAAGGAGGGUGUCAAUGUCUAAUGAACUAGGUUAGCUUUCUUUUUAAUCUUUUUUUACAUUAUGUAGAUAGAAGAAAAUAGCAUGGAAGUAUAAAUAACGAGAGGAUAUGAAUACAUUCAAUUCACACAGGAGAAAAAAUAAAUUUCAACUUAACAAAUGAAAAAUGUUAACAAAAAUUUACUUAUACCCAAUGGGCAAGACCAUAGGGAACUUGGUCAAUGCAAACAGUUCUGGGGGUUUUGUAUGUUGUGGUAAUUCUUUAAGAAAUCAGUUUGCUGUGUGAUGUAUCAAGACCCACAAAAGUGUGGCAUUUGAUAGACCUUGGAAAUCUUCUAUGGAUAUAAUUUGAAAAAAAGAAAAAAAGUUUUAAGGAGAAAGAUAUUUCUAGCUCAAUUACUUGAGAACACACUGAUGAACAGUUAAGGAAAUUAUAAUUUAUCAAUUCAGAAUCUCUAGCAAUUAAAUGAUAAAGAAGUUAUUAGUAUUAGGUUUUUAUUUCAUUUAUUUAUUUAUUUUUGGUGCUUUACUACUAAGCUACAUCCUUAGACCUCUUUUUUACUUUGAGAAAGGGUCUCAGUUGCAUAGGUUCCCACUUAAUUGCUGAGACUGACCUCGAACUUGUGAUCCUCCUGCCUCAGCUUCCCAAUCAUUGGGAUUACUGGCAUGUGGCAUUGCACCUGGCCUGUAGUAUUAGUUUUGAUCACACUGGAUUCAUAUAACUAUAGAAAUGUUUUUCUUAUGUAUGAUAAAGUCUUUAAAAGUAUAGCUGAUGGAAUAAAGGGAAAAUGGUCAGAAUGUUUCAAAUUUUAUUCAAUUGUUGUAAUUCUUAGGCGGAGAAUUAAAGAGAUGGAAGAAGAAUUACAGAAAACCGAGCGCUCAUUUAAAAACCAGGUAGUAAUUAAUACUGUCCUGUAGUUGCAGAAUUCUUUGAUAUCUAAUACAGACAAUUAUAGGCUAUUAUAAUGAGUCUGUAAAAACAUUUUUUUAAUGUGUUGUCUUUUUCAGAUUGCUAUGCAAGAGAAGAAAGCUCAUGAUAAUUGGGUAAGAUUUUUUUCCCCCUUUUCUUUAUUUUGUGCAUAGCCUACUGCAACUGAAUUUGAAUAUUUUCUCUUUAAUAGCUCAAAGCUCGUUCUGCAGAAAGAGCUAUAGCUGAAGAGAAAAGGGAAACUGCUAUUUUGAGACAGAAGUAUGUGAUUUUGGUAUCUUACUAUAUGUUUUAUAGUGUUUUAAGGUUAUGCUAGAUAUUAUCUAUGAUAGAUUGCUGUUUCAUAAUUUAGCCCAUUCUUUCUCAAUAUUCAAGACUAUUGGAAAUGGCCCAAAAGAUGGCAAUGCAGCAAGAAGAACCUGUGAUUGUAAAACCAAUGCCGGGAAGACCAAAUUUACAAAAUCCUCCUCGGAGAGGUAGGGGGCACUUUGUAAAAGGAGCUAUUUUAUUUCUUGGUGCAGAAUGUAUGUAAAUUACUUUUUAUUUCUGUGUGUAACGGUUAUGAAAUAAUCUGAACGAUUUGCUAAAGCGGGAGGUGGGGGUUGGUGUCAGGGAGAAGGCUGCCUUAAAGUAGUAACACGGCAUUGUUGCUUUAGGUCCCCUGAGCCAGAAUGGCUCUUUUGGUCCAUCCCCCAUGAGUGGUGGAGAAUGUUCCCCUCCACUGACAGCAGAGCCAGCUGGGAGACCUCCUUCUGCUACCCUUAAUCGAAGAGAUAUGCCUAGAAGUGGAUUUGGUGAGCAUUCACAUGUUGCUUUAUAGUAAACUGCUUCAAGGUUUUGGUUUUUUUUCCCUUUUGAAUAUUCUAAUGAAAACAUAGAAUUUGGGCCUGUACAAUAUAUAGAAGAUAAUUUCUUACUUUUUCUUAGUGAAUGUUUUCUAUAAAAUCUGUUCUAGAAUAGAAAACAUUUUUUUUUUUCCUGGAGGUCCCUGUAUUGUUUUUUUCUUUUAAAUUUUACACUGUGAAGUGUAAACCUUUAUAUUUAAAUUAAAUCUCUAUGAUGUUCCUUUCCCAAAUAUUAUAAAAGUAGCCUUAAACUUUAUGUAUCAUACAUAUUUCCAAUAUGAAAUACUGAGUCUUAUUUCCAAUUCUAAAUAGGACUGUAGUCUUGGUAAGAUUGGAAUUCAGGUUAUACAGAUUAAAGAAAAGCCAGCCUACACAUACUUAAGUCUAUAGCUUAAAGUUCAGGACCAGUACUUAUUAAUCUGCUGUUCUAUCAACCCAAGGCAGUUCUUUAUUUUAUUUAAGUCUCUUCAUAAAUUGUGAUUUACUAUUGAGCAACCCAUUUUUUAAAAUAUUUUUAAUUGUAGAUGGACAUGAUAUCUUUAUUUUUUAAAUGUGGUGCUGAGAAUCAAACCCAGUGCGUCACACAUGCUAGGCAAACACUCUACAACUGAGCUACGACCCCAAACCCUGGGCAACCCAUUUUUAAUGUUGCUUUGUAGUUAUUGUUGAACCCUGACCUGUCCACCAGUGGUUUAUUUCUUCUGAAAAAUACAUACAAGGGCUCUGAUCUUUCUUUCCCAAGGGUCAAUGGAUGGACCUUUACCUCGUACUCAAUGGUCUUCUGAGGCAUCUGGGAAACCCGUUGCCUCUGGUAAAGGGACCAAGUAAUUUCAAAGAAUCUAAUUGUGGAUGCAGGAUUUUUAUUCUUUUCAUGUUAGAAUAAGUCUGAAUCCAUUCUUUGAUCUCUAACAGACCCAGGAUGUGGUCCAGCUCACAUGAAUAGCAGCUCCAGAAGUUCUUCUCCAGCUAAGGUGACAGAUGAGGGCAAGGUAAGUUCUGUAGUUACUGUGAAUCAUGUGGUCGUGCAGGAACAUGUAGCUUUCCUACAGUACUUGCUCUUUGCUUUAUCCUUCUUUGUGUUCUAUUUGUACUAUCCCAUUUGUUUUUUAAAAAGCAAACUGUUCCCCAAGAACCUGAGACCCCCUCAAUUUCCACCAUUACUUCUUUGACUGAGCAUCCAGUUGGAGUAAGUACUUAGAGGUUGAGAACUGAAUUGGGUUUUAUUCUGUGCAUUUCUGGGAAGGAUAUUCAUAGCAUGACACUGAUCUUGUUUGCUUUAAAACUGCAUGCAAUAUUGAGCUUACUUUUCUCCUUAACUUGGGAAUGUUGCUUAAGUGUGUACAACUAUAAUGAACUACAGAAUGUGAAAAGUUAUCACUAUAUGUGGUGUUUUGUGUUGAAUGUUCUAAGGCAAAGUAAAUUCAUUAUAAAUUAUAUAAUUCAUCAUUUUUAUUUUUGUUUGGAAGAAUGCUAUUUAAGAAUUCCUCCAUUGUGCAAACCCUAUUUUGAGUGAUUUGAAUUAGAUUGGUAUCAGAUUUUCUGAAAGUGAAAUACUGUUUCAGUGAAACAAUGAUAAUCUGAAAUGACCUCUUGAGCCAGUCCCAAGCAAUGGUCUCAUUUGUUCACAUAAGUGCAUUCUCUUGUAACUGUGUUGCUAUUAUAUCUGGUAGGUCUUCUGCAGCUCUAUAAUAAAAUAAAUUUUUAAUUGUUUAGUUUCAAACCCACUACUCAUAGGAAAUGAUAAAUCAAUAUCUCAAAUGGUGUACAGUAAAUGAAAGUAAAUAUUAAAGCCUUGUCUUCCUUGGAAAUUUGUGUAUAUAGCACUGUGUUGGAAAAUACUUCUCAAGUUCCAGUGUAUAUAUAUUCCAGGAAUAUACAUCUCUGGAGAAAUCUAAGGGCAGCUUAGAUAAGACCCCAAACCCCUUUGUAGUAGAAGAUUUAAAAGAGAGCAAAGACCCGUUGUUAGAGAGGAGUAGAGGUGGGAAAAGCAUGGCUUGGAGGCAAACCUUGGGAUUGAGUUCCUUUAAUAUGCAGUGUGGCCUUCAACAAAUUAUGAUAUUCCAUUUGCUUUUGUUCCCUUUUAUUUAAAACAAGACAGUCUACUUAAAGAUCUCAGAGGUUGAAUAAUAUAUGAAAGACUUACUGAAGAUACUCUGAAUAGUAGCUAUUAUUACAUGGGUAGAGAAUGGAUUUUUCAUUUUAUUCUGUUCAUUCUUAAUAUGUAAGUAAUGAGCUAUUGUGAUGAAAGGGAAGUGAUGGGGAGGGGGGACUCCCUUUGAAAUAGAUUGUAGUGAAUACAGCAUGACAUACUGGUCAGAAAUCACCUCUGUAAAUAACCUCUGCCAGUCCUCUUGCCUUUCCCUUUCCUGUGCAGAUAUAAUCAGUAACAAACUGCUCCCUCUUGUGGCAUCCUUCUAACUUCUGUAAGCUGUCAGUGGGAAUACACAGGAGGGGUGGGGAGAGUUUUGUUGCACUGAUGGUGUUCUCUGGACAGGUGCUUGUUUUGGGUUUUAGCUUUUAUCGGUGUUGGUACUUUGUCUUAAUACAUAGGAAUUUUAAAACUUUUAACUGCUUUCAAAUCUUAAAUUGCAGGUUAAUAUGGCUAUGAAAGGGCCCCCUCCUUUCUCAGGGGUACCCUUCAUGGGCCCCCCGAUGGGACCCCCUAUAGGACGGCCUCCAUCACCUCCCAUUCGGCAUGGACCGCCACUUCAGCUCGAUGGGCCUUUUGGGCCUUGGCCAAUUCCUCCACCAUUUGGUAUGAUGAUCUGAACAGUAGUGAUUGACUUAUAAAUCACAUUCAUCUUUCAUUUCUAUUGCUUGCUAAAACAGUUGGUUGCUAUCUCAAUUCUUAACAAUGAAAGGAUAAAGCUGAGUACAUUUUAACUUUUCCUCCAGUUUUCUGGGACAUAUGGGACACUACAUAAUCUUAUACUGAGAUAGGCAAUAACUAUCUCUCAUAGACAAGGAUAAGGGGCUAUAUACAGAAAAGCAAGAAAUAUUACUUCUGCAGAUGUUUGUUGAAAAUCUGUUGAUAUGCACUGCAAUAGAUGGAAAGGUGGAUGAGACACAUGCCAUAACUUAAAAUUUUGUCACAGAUAUGAAAAUCCUAUAACAUAAAGUUUGUAAUCACCCAUAAUGGAAGCAUAAGCAGUAGGUUAUAGAAUAUAGAAAAGAAAAAGUCAAACCCUCCUUACCUUAAGAAAAGUCAGAGGGAAGUGUUAAAGAGGAGGAUUUAACAGUGACCUAAUAAAUGUUGCUGAUUUAAUUAGGUGGCUGUGGAAGGCCUUUUCCAGGAGGGCAUGCACCUUGAUUCUGAUGGCAUGUGUAAAGUCCAUGCUGAAAUACUUCAUGAAUUUUUAAUGGAUACAGUAAUAAAUAGUGGGAUUUCCUUUUAUCAAAAUUUAUUUGAUGUAGUAAAGUUCUUAUUUCAUAAUCUAUCAUCUUGUCAUGGUAAUAUAGUACUUCCAAAUAUAAAUGGAGCUCUUGUGAGAUAGAAAUAAUUUUGCAAUUAUAUAGUAGGGAAAGAAAAAAGACAAGCCUGGAGCUAGGUAGAGCCAUGUUUAAAUCCUUAAUAUGUUGCUUCAUGGAUGGUUGGCCAAAGGCUAUAACCUAAACUUGUUCCAUCUCAGUUUGCCUCAUCUGGCAAGUCAGGAUGUUCACCAGUUGAUGUUCUAGGCUUGGGAGAAAUUAAAGACUAUAUUAACAUACUUGAAAUCACCCUAGUUCAGAAAUUUCUGGGUAUUUACAUAACUUCCUUUUUAUUUUCCAGGUCCUGGUAUUCGUCCACCAAUAGGCUUCAGAGCAUAUGCACCAGGUGUUCCACCUGGAAAACGGGAUUUGCCUUUUGACCCUCGUGAUUUUUUUCCAGGACCCGCACCAUUUAGACCUUUAGGCUCAUUUGGCCCAAGAGAGCACUUCAUUCCUGGUGCCCCAUUACCACCUCCAACUCAUGGUCCCCAAGACUAUGGGCCACCACCUGUUGCAAAAGACUUAAUUAAGCCUUCAGGCUUUAAAGAUGAACCUCCACCUACACCUGAUUCUCAGAGUAGUGAGGGCUAUUCACAGGCCUUAAAACUGGGCCCAUAAAAUUAACCUCUGACACUUAGUCAGAAAGUGGAUUAUGAACUAUUCAUUGUGUUAAAGAAUUAUUGGCUUCAAAAUAUAAAAGUUAUUUUAAAUGGUUUAUGUUUUUAGAAUGAAGCUGCCUUGGCGCAGUACACAUUUUGAGCCAAAAUAUUUUCCCCCUAAAUAUCCCCCACUUAAGCUAGAGUAUCCUUCCAACUUUAAAACGUGCAAUAAGGAAUACCUUUGUCUUAGUUAAUGUAGCAUAUACAAUUGCUAAAUGAUUUAGAAUGUCAUAAUUAUGGACAUUUCCUGUGGAAAUGCUUUAAGAACAUGUAUUUCCAUUAUCCUAUUUUUAGUGUAUUCCAGUUGAUACAGAGAAAUGGUGUUUUAUAAGCUUGAUUUUUCUCUUCUAAUAUCUGGUCACAGAGACUGUUACGCUAAAAAUGUUUACUCAAAGAUCAUAAACUUCAUUUUCCUUCUUGCUGAAGUUCUUUGUUGUAAUAGUUCAUAAAAAAUUGUUUAUUAAUAUUUCCCAAGUGUCUGUUGAUUCAUUGGAUCGUCAUGAGACUUUGUGCCAUUGGGGAAGCAUGUAAACUCACUCUCAGAACUGAAGAUGGUGACUUGGCAGCAUAUUCCCUGUUGCUCACUGUUAAGGAGGCUGGACCUUGGUCAACUGUGGACUUCUACAGAGGAUUUCUUUUACUUGUGAGAAGUCUUGUGGCUCUAUUUUUGUAGCACAUUCAUGUACUUUUUUCUAACCAUUGUCCAUGUGAGAAUGGUUUUCUGAGAAUGAGUUUACAUUAGUAGCAAGAGUUGUUUGACCUGAAGUUCUACUGCUUUUGCCAUUAUUGCAUUAUAACAGUAAA
This 20737-nucleotide long non-coding RNA is filed under the name Marmota monax (woodchuck). Lineage: Eukaryota; Metazoa; Chordata; Mammalia; Rodentia; Sciuridae. The record is from RNAcentral.